This is a long non-coding RNA of Pseudomyrmex gracilis, 439 nucleotides long. RefSeq lists it as uncharacterized. The record is from RefSeq and is a predicted model, not a curated record. Lineage: Eukaryota; Metazoa; Arthropoda; Insecta; Hymenoptera; Formicidae. The transcript has 3 exons.
UUUAGGUUAUGUCAGGUGAUGGUGCGUACAGUUGACUUUCUUGCUACAAAAAUAGUUUUGUGCAAAAAUUCGUAAAAGAUGUGGUACGAAAUAAUUCCACCGCUGAUAAUAGUAGGAUUGGUACCAAUUGUACCUCAAUAUAUAUCCUACUACCUCAAUUCUUUUGUAUUCGGAAACCCGAUGCGUAGAAACAUGUGCGACAUUUGGGAUCGUCAUAUGUAUACAAGAGACUGGCGAACAGAUGGAGCGCCAUGGAAAAACAAGGGACUAGCUAAUGUUCCUGAUGACUAAGAUGUGUUUAUAAAAAUAAUAAAUUAAUAUAUAUAUGAACAUGUAGUUUAUGAUAUAUUAAAGAAUAAGUUGUAUUGUUCUGAAAAGUGUAAUUUACAUGUAAUUGAAGUAUACAUAUGAUAGGCAAAAUAUACAUCUAUAAAUUAUA